Molecule: signal recognition particle RNA, 234 nt
Filed under: human gut metagenome
Description: Bacterial large signal recognition particle RNA
Rfam family: Bacterial large signal recognition particle RNA
About the family: The signal recognition particle (SRP) is a universally conserved ribonucleoprotein involved in the co-translational targeting of proteins to membranes.
Source: RNAcentral
CGCACUAGUCGGGGAGAUAGCGGUGCCCUAUACCUGCAAUCCGCUACAGCAGGGAUGAAUCCCCACACCCGGGUACGCAAAGUACCGUCCGGACUGUGUAAGCGGUGUUGAAGGAAUGGUCUUACGCAACGAAAUUCCGUGAACCAUGUCAGGUGGGGAACCAAGAAGCAUUAAGCGGAGCGUUUCGUGUGCCGUGAGGUUGCCAUUCCCGAGCUGGCUGCAUAGAUACCGGGU